This 377-nucleotide ribosomal RNA is filed under the name uncultured Chloroflexota bacterium. RNAcentral's name for it is "bacterial SSU rRNA". It matches the Rfam family "Bacterial small subunit ribosomal RNA", at positions 521 to 896 of the family's 1533-position model. The record is from RNAcentral. Lineage: Bacteria; Bacillati; Chloroflexota.
UAAUACGUAGGGUUCAAACGUUGUCCGGAUUUACUGGGCGUAAAGAGCGCGUAGGCGGUUUGUUAAGUCUCAUGUGAAAUCUCCCGGCUCAACUGGGAGGGGUCAUGGGAAACUGACAGGCUUGAGGGUAGCAGAGGAAAGCGGAAUUCCCGGAGUAGUGGUGAAAUGCGUAGAUACCGGGAGGAACAUCAGAGGCGAAGGCGGCUUUCUGGGCUAUUCCAGACGCUGAGGCGCGAAAGCGUGGGGAGCAAACCGGAUUAGAUACCCGGGUAGUCCACGCCCUAAACGAUGGAUACUAGAUAUGGGGGGUAUCGACCCCUCCCGUGUCGCAGCUAACGCAUUAAGUAUCCCGCCUGAGGAGUACGGCCGCAAGGCUA